CCUACGGGCUGCAGCAGUGAGGAAUAUUGGUCAAUGGGCGAGAGCCUGAACCAGCCAAGUCGCGUGAGGGAGUACUGCCCUAUGGGUUGUAAACCUCUUUUGUCGGGGAGCAAAAGCCGGACGUGUCCGGCUGUGAGAGUACCCGAAGAAAAAGCAUCGGCUAACUCCGUGCCAGCAGCCGCGGUAAUACGGAGGAUGCGAGCGUUAUCCGGAUUUAUUGGGUUUAAAGGGUGCGCAGGCGGAUUUUUAAGUCAGCGGUAAAAUCGUGGGGCUCAACCCCAUCCAGCCGUUGAAACUGGGGAUCUAGAGUGUGCGAGAGGUAUGCGGAAUGCGUGGUGUAGCGGUGAAAUGCAUAGAUAUCACGCAGAACCCCGAUUGCGAAGGCAGCAUACCGGUGCACAACUGACGCUCAGGCACGAAAGCGUGGGUAUCGAACAGGAUUAGAUACCCCAGUAGUC
RNAcentral lists this ribosomal RNA (458 nucleotides) under uncultured bacterium. RNAcentral describes it as "partial 16S ribosomal RNA". It matches the Rfam family "Bacterial small subunit ribosomal RNA", at positions 338 to 795 of the family's 1533-position model. The record is from RNAcentral.